Molecule: ribosomal RNA, 718 nt
Filed under: uncultured bacterium
Lineage: Bacteria
Description: bacterial SSU rRNA
Rfam family: Bacterial small subunit ribosomal RNA
Source: RNAcentral
AGAGUUUGAUCAUGGCUCAGAAUCAACGCUGGCGGCGCGCUUAACACAUGCAAGUCGAGCGAGAAAGGGGCAACCUGAGUAAAGCGGCGUACGGGUGAGUAACACGUGGAUCAUCUACCUUUUAGUGGGGAAUAACCUUGAGAAAUUGAGGAUAAUACCGCAUAAGCCCGCAAGGGGAAAGCAGCAAUGCGCUGGAAGAGGAGUCCGCGGCCGAUUAGCUAGUUGGUGAGGUAAUGGCUCACCAAGGCGACGAUCGGUAGCCGGCCUGAGAGGGCACACGGCCACACUGGCACUGAAAUACGGGCCAGACUCCUACGGGAGGCAGCAGUGGGGAAUCUUGCACAAUGGGCGAAAGCCUGAUGCAGCGACGCCGCGUGAGCGAUGAAGCCCUUCGGGGUGUAAAGCUCUUUCGGCAGGGACGAUAAUGACGGUACCUGAAGAAGAAGCUGCGGCUAACUACGUGCCAGCAGCCGCGGUAAUACGUAGGCAGCGAGCGUUGUUCGGAAUUACUGGGCGUAAAGAGUGUGUAGGCGGUGCUCUAAGUUUGGUGUGAAAUCUCCCGGCUCAACUGGGAGGGUGCGCCGAAGACUGGAGUGCUCGAACGUGGGAGAGGAAAGCGGAAUUCCUGGUGUAGCGGUGAAAUGCGUAGAUAUCAGGAGGAACACCUGUGGUGUAGACAGCUUUCUGGACCAUUGUUGACGCUGAGACACGAAAGCGU